RNAcentral lists this ribosomal RNA (313 nucleotides) under uncultured bacterium. RNAcentral's name for it is "bacterial SSU rRNA". It matches the Rfam family "Bacterial small subunit ribosomal RNA", at positions 28 to 334 of the family's 1533-position model. The record is from RNAcentral.
GAUGAACGCUAGCGACAGGCUUAACACAUGCAAGUCGAGGGGCAGCGGGGUAGUGCUUGCACUACUGCCGGCGACCGGCGCACGGGUGAGUAACACGUAUGGAACCUGCCCGCAGCAGGGGGAUAAGCGGAAGAAAUUCCGUCUAAUACCGCGUAACAACGUUGGGAGGCAUCUCCCGAUGUUUAAAGAUUUAUCGGCUGCGGAUGGCCAUGCGGCGCAUUAGCUAGUCGGCGGGGUAACGGCCCACCGAGGCGACGAUGCGUAGGGGUUCUGAGAGGAAGGUCCCCCACACUGGUACUGAGACACGGACCAG